This 252-nucleotide ribosomal RNA is filed under the name uncultured bacterium. Its description in RNAcentral is "partial 16S ribosomal RNA". It matches the Rfam family "Bacterial small subunit ribosomal RNA", at positions 524 to 775 of the family's 1533-position model. The record is from RNAcentral.
UACAGAGGGUGCGAGCGUUAAUCGGAAUUACUGGGCGUAAAGCGCGCGUAGACGGUUUUGUAAGUCGGAUGUGAAAUCCCCGGGCUCAACCUGGGAACUGCGUUCGAGACUGCAUGGCUAGAGUACGGUAGAGGGAAGCGGAAUUUCCGGUGUAGCGGUGAAAUGCGUAGAUAUCGGAAGGAACACCAGUGGCGAAAGCGGCUUCCUGGACCAGUACUGACGUUCAUGUGCGAAAGCGUGGGGAGCAAACAG